AUCGCUUCUCAGCCUUUUGGCUAAGAUCAAAUGUAGUGUCUGUUCUUAUCACUUUAAUGUUUGAUAUGUCCUCUAUCUGAGGACAGUAUAUUAGAUGGAUUUUUGGAGCAGCAGGGAGUUGGAAUAGGAGCUUGUUCUGCCCACUGCACGCAUCCAUUGACCUGGUAUUCUACUACCUCUAGGAAUGGUGUACCAGCC
Small nuclear RNA from Sorex araneus (European shrew), 198 nucleotides. Its record names the gene U2. It matches the Rfam family "U2 spliceosomal RNA". Rfam says of the family: U2 is a small nuclear RNA (snRNA) component of the spliceosome (involved in pre-mRNA splicing). Complementary binding between U2 snRNA (in an area lying towards the 5' end but 3' to hairpin I) and the branchpoint sequence (BPS) of the intron results the bulging out of an unpaired adenosine, on the BPS, which initiates a nucleophilic attack at the intronic 5' splice site, thus starting the first of two transesterification reactions that mediate splicing. Lineage: Eukaryota; Metazoa; Chordata; Mammalia; Eulipotyphla; Soricidae. The record is from Ensembl.